GGCUUUAUAGUAUAAAAAUAUAUUGGAUUACAAGUACUAAAGAUGUAGGGACACUAAGGUUUAAGAC
This 67-nucleotide transfer RNA is filed under the name Longpotamon yangtsekiense. RNAcentral describes it as "tRNA-Cys". The record is from RNAcentral. Lineage: Eukaryota; Metazoa; Arthropoda; Malacostraca; Decapoda; Potamidae.